Molecule: ribosomal RNA, 253 nt
Filed under: uncultured bacterium
Lineage: Bacteria
Description: partial 16S ribosomal RNA
Rfam family: Bacterial small subunit ribosomal RNA
Source: RNAcentral
UACGUAGGGGGCAAGCGUUGUCCGGAGUUACUGGGCGUAAAGCGCACGCAGGCGGUCGCGUAAGAGUGCGGGGACAGUGGGCGGCUUAACUGCCCAAGGGUCGCACAGACUGCGUGACUGGAGGACCAGAGAGGGACCUGGAAUUCCGGGUGGAGCGGUGAAAUGCGUAGAGAUCCGGAGGAACACCAAUGGCGAAGGCAGGGUCCUGGCUGGCACCUGACGCUGAGACGCGAAAGCGUGGGGAGCAAACAGG